CGCACAUUGCGCCCCUCGGCAUUCCGGGGGGCAUGCCUGUUCGAGCGUCAACACAUCUCUCAAGCGUAGCUUGGUAGUGGGCCCUUCGCCUUCCGUCAACCCGGGGGGGGGCGUGCCUGAAAAGUAGUUGCGGUCCGGCGUCACUAUUGGACGUAGUAAAAUCUUGCGCCCCGUCUUGACAGUUGCGCGCCGAGACCUGCCGGAAAUCAUUAAUUCUCAACGAUUGACCUCGAAUCAGGUAGGGAUACCCGCUGAACUUAA
RNAcentral lists this unclassified non-coding RNA (261 nucleotides) under Glaucomaria carpinea. RNAcentral's name for it is "Lecanora carpinea partial contains 5.8S ribosomal RNA, internal transcribed spacer 2, and large subunit ribosomal RNA". Lineage: Eukaryota; Fungi; Ascomycota; Lecanoromycetes; Lecanorales; Lecanoraceae. The record is from RNAcentral.